Molecule: long non-coding RNA, 4946 nt
Organism: Acinonyx jubatus (cheetah)
Lineage: Eukaryota; Metazoa; Chordata; Mammalia; Carnivora; Felidae
Exons: 2
Source: RefSeq, a predicted model, not a curated record
UCUGCUUUUUAAUGCCUCCAAAUUGUUUUCUCCUUACCAUUCUCCCAGUCCCUUAGCCAUAUUAAAAGGUCUCCCCCAACUCUUGGCCAAUCAAGAAACUUUCCAUCCCAUUUCUAUGCUAGCCCUGCUUCACUCACAGCUUUCUUCAUUUCUCUCAUUUCUUAUUUCUUUACAGAAGCCAAUAGUAAGGUAGCAUGGAGUCUCUUGGCACUCUUAUAUCUUCCUUCUGCCUGCCAAACUGUCGAAGCAUUUUUAUAAUCGUAGGUCCCUGUUAUUAUUAGUCUGCUACAUUCAUUUUUUGAGGGAUCCUUUAUCGUUAGCGUAACGAUGGCUUACUACUUAAUGGAUAACUGUUAUUCAUAGUUAAUUCCAUACCACUUAAGAAAAAUUCUAUUACGAUUCUUCCCUUCAUUGAGUUUAAUUUAUUCUAAUUACUUGCUUGGCUCUAGCAUGUCUUUGCAUUUUUGUUUGUUUUUCAGGACAAGUACACAAGUGGGAUGUUUUGCAAGUCGUUCAAUGUCAAAGAUGAUCUUUUUGUGCCCUUUCAAUGAAAGCAAUGACGCCCCAGCUGGCUGUUGAAUUGGAACAACAGCACUCUCCCGCUAAUGUCUAAUGUGAUGCGCCAUUGCUUUCCUCACACAAAGUUGGUUUCGCUGCUGCAAGAGAGACCCAGGUUAGGAAGUGUGACUUGAGAAUGAUGCCAGGAUCAAUGUUGACAAUGAGAUGAGAGCCAGAGUGAAGCCAGAAGAGGCCGAGAAGCCAAAACUGGAAAUGAGUUGUCAGAGAUGCUCAUGAUGAGGCGUCUACAGUAUACAUUCCACCCCUCCGUACAGGGGUGAAAUCUGCCAAACCGAACAAGUAAUACUCACCCAGAAGAAAAGGGUCUACUCUCGCUGAGAUCAUUUAAUUUGGUACUAAGUGAAAUGUGCACAUUAUGAAGAUGUUCUUAAUACACUACUUCUGGGAAGAAUUAUUCUUGUGAAGUGUGGAAUGGGAAGGAAGCAUGAGGCAUGGUGACAUGGAUGCGCAUCACCUGGGACAUCCAGCAGUCUGCUCCCACAGAUGCCCUCAAGGUAGUAUUUACCUUGAGGGGCCUCACAGACUCUGACACCCGAUCUCAUGGAUUGGACCCAGGAAUGCAGACUCAUGCUAACAAAACUCACAAGACACAGAUGUAUUAAAAAAAAAAAAGAAGAAGGCGACUUUAUUAUUUACAGUGAACAACAGAAGAAUCAGGUGUACUGAAUGUCCAUCAGCCUGAUAGUGAAUUAUCUCCUUGGGAAGGAAAAUUUACCACAGGGAAGCGUGGUGGGCAUGGAAGCAGAGCAAGUGGAGUUAAUUACACAGGAUUCCAGCACCAAAUGGCAUAAGGCUCUGCAGCUCUCUACAAGAGGGUUACCCACCUGCCAGGCAGGCUGGAUGCUUGCCUCAGCCUGGCAGGUGCCACGGCUCAGAAGGUGCUUUGCUGGGUAUCACCACAAUUAAAUUGAUCGGUUUUCUUUUUCUCUGUUUGAGAGACAGAGAAAAUGCUCAUCUGAUGAAGAUUUUAUAUGUUUGGGCAGUUUUAAGAUGUCAAUACCCUCAAUUAGGGUAUAGUCAAAUUUUACUGUCCAAGGAGUCUUUAUAUCUCUUAAGAUCACAAUGGCGCUCUUGGCUUUAAUCUCUUAGAUGUUCAUUUCUUUGAUUAAUUUUCAGAGAGUAUUUUCAUUUCCCUGCUUUCUGAGAUCAAGGGGGGCACUGCAAAGUGGACUCCACAUUUGCCUACAGGUUCCACAAAGUGUCAGUUAAAGUCAAAUCAACCUGUACUCACUGUGCCAACUUUAUGCCCACUGCUGUGCCAGGUACAAAAUAACAUUCAAAACAGCCUCUAAGGAAAUGUUGUAUCCACUGGAUGCCUACAGCCUUUCUCUCUUUUUAAGGUACAAGAAAUAUAAAGAUAAACACAACAUUGUCUUGUUCCCUUUAAGUCUUGCAAAGGAACAAGAUACGUGUGUUUAAAAAAAAAAAAAAAAAAAAGAAGGUGCUGUGCCAAGUGAUAUAAAGCAUGGCAGAGGGAGUCCUUUUAUAUUUAUGGGCAGAGACAGAAGCCACAUCUUUCUGUAAGUCUGAUUAAAAAAAAAACAAAACCAAGUAACACUGAUGAUUACUUUAAAAAUUUAACAACAGUGAAGCAUGAAAUAGAAGUUCCUUCCUUUCUACUUCUCCACCCCUGUUCUACAGACUCUCAAGGUUGCCCCCAGUAGUUCGGUGAAUACUCUUCCAGAUCUUUUUCUACGUAUAUGAAACACACACACACACACACACACACACACACACACACACACACACGCUUCAGCAGCCCCAAACACACAUAUUUAUAUACAUAAACAUAAAUUUAUAUAUUAUAUCAACAUGCAAAAUUUAUAUAUUGCACAUCCCAUUUAUGUAAUAUAUACACAUAUGUGAGACUGUGAUAUAUAUAUUGUUUUAUAACUUCUUCUACAUUUAAUUCUUUGUUGUCAGUUAUAACAUGUAUUUUAAAAAGUACAAAAAAUAUGCUGUUUAGAAACCAAACUACUCUGGUUGCUCCCACCAAGUCAGUAAACAGAAAAUUCUCAGUGCCCCAGGACCCCCUGCGUCCACCCCCCCCCCCCCAUAUCAUCAUGCUGAAUCUUAUGUUAAUCAUUUCUUAGCUUUCUGUAUAGUCUCACUACCUAUGAGGCAGGCAAAGCUCAAAUUAGCCUGCAUCAAAUGCCCUCAGGGCAAAAGCAGCUUCUGUUCUCUAAAUCUCCAUGGAUUCUCACUGUUUCUUAGAUUUCCUUUGAUUUUCAGUCCUUUGCUGCUCUGAGGAUGUUUUCUUAUACAUAUUCAAUAGUUGGGGUUGUUUUCAGCAAGAGGAUUGUUCAAGUAAUGUGAUGGGCUGUAUUUCCAGUAACAGAAAUCUGUGUCACUUGUCAACUUCUUUCUGUGUUACAGUUAUAUGUAUAAAUGUAGAGUCUUACCUACUAGAUCCUGACUCCUUGGGGGUUAUGGGAGGCAAACGUUCUUAAUCUGCCACGGCACACACAGUGAAAUAUGCAGUCAAUGCACAAAGAGUACAGAGCAAAGGAACGGACAUGAGAACGAAUAUGGAAUUACACCUGUUCCGGAGGGGUUGCCAUUUCCUUGUUUCGAAGGGAGAGAUGUGGAUGCAUAAAAUGAUCUGACGUGAAACAAUUUGAGGCCACAAGGCAAUAUUUUCAACGAAAUCACCUCCACUCACCAACGCGGGAAGUUUUCCAAGAUACAUUGUCAAGUGAAAAAAGAAAGUUGUAAGACGGUGUCUGUGUAUAAGACAGAUCUAUCUCUAUCUCCCACGUGUGUACACAGGCAUGUGUGUGAGUGUGUGCCCACACGUUCUUGUUUAUGCCCAGAAAUAAUGGCUGUAAGAGCACGUAGCAGUGGUUACUUCUAUGAACGGGGCCUGGGAAGCCAGGAGUUAACCUUUUCAUUUUCAAGUGUCCUAUAUAAUCUUUUUACAUGAAGCAAUACAUUAUUUUUAUAGUUAGGGGAGAAACUUUUAAAUUCCAUUCAAGGGGAACCAUAUCUGAUGAGAGAGAUCAAGAAGAAAAAACAGACAGGAAGACAUAAAUUAUUGGGGAAGGCUCCUUCAAAAAGGCAGGACCUGAAAUGAGUCCCAGGCCCUGGCAGAGUUCACACUGGGAGGACAGAGGUGAGGGAAAAGCAGGGCGACAUGGACAAGAGCUGUGCGUGAGCAGAUGUUGGGAAGAGACGAGAACGACACCUGAAGAGGGACCCAAGGAAGCUCCCCUGGCUCAGGUUAACUCCAGUUUAUACAGAGGGGCGUGAUGUUUAAUCAGACACAACGGCAUCAAACAGCAUCAAAUGGGCAACGUCAUCAAUAUUAAGAGCUUAUCACUGGUUUCAUGGGAAACAGAAGUCAUCACAGGGUACUUGACAAGGCAGUAACAGAAUACCAACCUCGUGGAGUACUUCGUGCAGAAUGAAAUCAAACGUGAAAAAUCCCUAGUAAUUGGUAAAGUGCUGCAUCAGCAAUGAUAGGUUUGAUUACGCAAGAGUUACAUUUUGGGGAGGUUAUCAUGGUAUUUUGGCACAGAAUGUACCAAACAGGGGCAGAAAAACUCAGGGCCAGGAGAUUCCUCAGCAACAGAAUACACCUGUAAGAGCUCGUCCAGUUUUCACAACCUGAGACGUGCGGGUAACGGCCCUGCCUCUCAGGUGUGUUGAAGAUUAAGUGCACAUAAAAUGGCACGGUCACAAUGUAUCAGUUCGUUUCUCCUCAACGCUAUCAGAGUCCAGAUGUAUGCUGAUAAAAAUAAAAACUGAUGCCCUGGCCAAGGGAAUGAAAAAGAUAAAGCCUGAGACUUUUCUAAAUAAAUAAUCAGUAAGGAUCUAUUUCUGGGAUGCCGGGAAUGACCGAGGAAAAGAUGAUUUCUAGCUAUCCAGCAGGGGACACUGGGGAAAUGGUAAUGUCCCUGAAAGAAAUCUACCCAGAUCUGUGAUCCACAACAUCUCUGGAGUCAGGACACUCCUAUCACAUGACUUUCACCUCCACUAUCUGGUACUCCCGACCCAUAACCCUCCCCACUGGGUUUGGGGCAACCUCCUUAUGUUAGUAUAAAUAGAUCGUGAAAUAUUUUAACAUAAAAGUGUACUUAUAUCUAUUUUACUUGGGGAAAAAAUGUCCAGGAUAUAUUAAAAACCUCAAGACAACGGAGACAUGCAAAAAUCACUGACGACUCAUUUAUCGCAAUGGGCAAAAUUUAGCAGUACCUUAUGACAAAUCAAAAUGAGCUCCAUGUUUGACUUCAAGGAAGAAAGAUUCUAGAUGAAUAAAAUAUGUGACAGAAUUAAACAUCUUUGUUUUAAAAUUAUUUGUAUCAUCUGAAGGCCUGAAUCGCAAAAUUAUGAAACCAAAAAAAGUUCAAUAAAAAUUAGUAAAAUAA